Molecule: non-coding RNA, 919 nt
Organism: Oryza sativa Japonica Group (Japanese rice)
Lineage: Eukaryota; Viridiplantae; Streptophyta; Magnoliopsida; Poales; Poaceae
Source: RefSeq, a predicted model, not a curated record
UUGUGCUUGAAUGGGGAUUCCAUUAAUCCAAAUCGAUCAGUUGUGAAGUUUACAUUGAUCUUACUGUACACGGUUCAGAUUAAUUUUGUUGACAGGGGAUCUCAGUUAGUUCAGGAUGCAGGUCGUUUGCAGUGUUGCAUGUGCAGUACUGAUCAUUGACACGUGGACCUCAUAGCCCCUCGGAUCCACGUAUCAAUGAGCAGUACUGCAUGUACUGCAGGGGAUCUCAAUUAGUUCGGUUGGCAUUGCUAAGGCACGGAGCACUGUUACGGGGCUUGCAGCUGCAAGCUGCGCAGCGUCAUCAAGAUGGAGCCUCACCUAGUUCCUCCUCCUCAUGCAACUGCAGCUGUGUAGUAUCACGAAAAGGGAGACAUGGCGAUGAGGAAGAGCCAACCCUGAGAAAACUCAGGAGGCAAAGUGGAAUUGCUCCUCUGUAUCCUUUCAAAGAUUCAGAGUUUCAGUUAGCUCUUCUCUCUUUUUAGUUUUUCUUUUCCCUUCAAAGUCUUCAAAAAGACCCAAGAGGUGAAAGGUCCGUUCUUGUUUCCCUUCUGUCCUUUGGAUGGUAGCUAAUGAACAUGGAUGGACAGGUCAAUCUCACCGUCCCUUGUUAGAAAUGGACGCCAUUAAUUAGUUUGAAGCCUUGAAGAUUCAGGUCAUCAGGUCUCUGGCAAAUUGGCAACCUCGAACAAGCUUCAUGACAUCUUCCUAAGUUGAGUGAUUGGACAGAAAGUUUGUGCACUACUACUAAAAUUCUUGCUUCCUUUUGUUGGAUUGCCAAUUUGCCAUUUCCCCCAGAAUCACAUUCUGCAGUUUCUGACGGUUCAUCAUGGUUGCAAUGAACCUAUCCGUGUAAUUCUUCUCUUCUUUUUUUUUUGUGAUGUUACAUGAGCGACUUUAAUGGUGGAAUUUAUUUGUUUGA